This 1026-nucleotide long non-coding RNA is filed under the name Pan troglodytes (chimpanzee). RNAcentral describes it as "long non-coding RNA NONPTRT012839". The record is from RNAcentral. Lineage: Eukaryota; Metazoa; Chordata; Mammalia; Primates; Hominidae.
CAAUUGCUCUCCCUACACAUGGAAUUGUCGUCCCACAGACAGCCUGUUUGUCUGUGUGCAUAGCUGUGCUCUACACAUACGAGGGAAGCUGUGGCUUCAGAGGGGCCAGUGCCCACCCCCUUUGGUGAUGCUACCUCACCUGUGUCCCCCGGCUUCUCACCCGCCUGGAUUCUCACCUGCCAGCCUCACUUUCCCUCUGACCCCCCCACACACCAGCUCUGCGUCUUCUCACCUCCAUCCUCUGUCUUUCACUUGUAUUGAGAUAACAUUUUCCCAUAGUUAUCAGAGUGCUGUAAGUUCCCUGGGGAGCAUCCGGAUAAUACCACACAUAGCAGAAAUCAAAGACCUCCUGUGUGCCCCUCACGCAGAAACAUUGAAAUCACAGCUCUUGGCAGAUUUCCUGUCACUUGCCAGUUAUCCAUGUACCUGGGUGCUCAGUGACAUGAUGAUGUGUUGCAGGCCGACUGGCGUGGACCACAUGGCUUCCCCACUGGUUCAAACGUCACGGAGCAGGUUCCCCCCGAUAGGCACGGAGACCAGGGAGCAGAAUACAGCAGUUCCUGGAUGCCGCCUUGUUUCUUACAGAGGAAGGCAUCUACAAACCCGUGUGUCGAGUGCCAUGCCUGACGGUACAGAACGAUCGCGUCUUCGAGAAAGAACAGCCACCCUGGAACAGUUGUCAAGGCCCAGCACAACCCACACGUUCCGGUCGGAUACGCCUCGAAAAAGUUCAUUGACACAAAUGGAAUUUGCUGCUCACACAUGGACAGGUCAAAGUAUUUUGACAGGUUCACAAUAUGUGCCUAAAUCUUUUCAGAGGACAACUUUGACUUUCAAGAAGAGAUUCCAAGUGACAUCUUGAAACCACCUCACCAGAACCAUUGGAGCACUCGUGGCCUCAGCACACUGCUUAUCACUUGAAAAAUGGAGGAACAAGUGUUAUAUUUAUCUGUGUGUCUGACAGUGUGAGAUGUUAGACCGAGAGAAAAGCAAACAAAUAAAUCACUUAAUCUUGAACACUUUGCA